RNAcentral lists this ribosomal RNA (958 nucleotides) under Corynebacterium aurimucosum. RNAcentral's name for it is "bacterial SSU rRNA". It matches the Rfam family "Bacterial small subunit ribosomal RNA", at positions 488 to 1424 of the family's 1533-position model. Lineage: Bacteria; Bacillati; Actinomycetota; Actinomycetes; Mycobacteriales; Corynebacteriaceae. The record is from RNAcentral.
AAGCACCGGCUAACUACGUGCCAGCAGCCGCGGUAAUACGUAGGGUGCGAGCGUUGUCCUGGAAUUACUGGGCGUAAAGAGCUCGUAGGUGGUUUGUCGCGUCGUCUGUGAAAUUCCGGGGCUUAACUUCGGGCGUGCAGGCGAUACGGGCAUAACUUGAGUGCUGUAGGGGAGACUGGAAUUCCUGGUGUAGCGGUGAAAUUCCUGGUGUAGCGGUGAAAUGCGCAGAUAUCAGGAGGAACACCGAUGGCGAAGGCAGGUCUCUGGGCAGUUACUGACGCUGAGGAGCGAAAGCAUGGGUAGCAAACAGGAUUAGAUACCCUGGUAGUCCAUGCCGUAAACGGUGGGCGCUAGGUGUAGGGGGCUUCCACGUCUUCUGUGCCGUAGCUAACGCAUUAAGCGCCCCGCCUGGGGAGUACGGCCGCAAGGCUAAAACUCAAAGGAAUUGACGGGGGCCCGCACAAGCGGCGGAGCAUGUGGAUUAAUUCGAUGCAACGCGAAGAACCUUACCUGGGCUUGACAUACACUAGAUUGCUGCAGAGAUGUAGUGUCCCUUGUGGCUGGUGUACAGGUAGGUGCAUGGUUGUCGUCAGCUCGUGUCGUGAGAUGUUGGGUUAAGUCCCGCAACGAGCGCAACCCUUGUCUUAUGUUGCCAGCAUUUGGUUGGGGACUCAUGAGAGACUGCCGGGGUUAACUCGGAGGAAGGUGGGGAUGACGUCAAAUCAUCAUGCCCCUUAUGUCCAGGGCUUCACACAUGCUACAAUGGUCGGUACAACGCGCAGCGACACUGUGAGGUGGAGCGAAUCGCUGAAAGCCGGCCUUAGUUCGGAUUGGGGUCUGCAACUCGACCCCAUGAAGUCGGAGUCGCUAGUAAUCGCAGAUCAGCAACGCUGCGGUGAAUACGUUCCCGGGCCUUGUACACACCGCCCGUCACGUCAUGAAAGUUGGUAACACCCGA